This is a non-coding RNA of Phyllopteryx taeniolatus (common seadragon), 73 nucleotides long. Lineage: Eukaryota; Metazoa; Chordata; Actinopteri; Syngnathiformes; Syngnathidae. The record is from the annotation of a RefSeq genome assembly.
ACCCGGCUAGCUCAGUUGGUAGAGCAUGAUACUCUUAAUCUCAGGGUUGUGGUUUCGAGCACCAUGUUGGGUG